This 684-nucleotide ribosomal RNA is filed under the name uncultured bacterium. Its description in RNAcentral is "bacterial SSU rRNA". It matches the Rfam family "Bacterial small subunit ribosomal RNA", at positions 122 to 822 of the family's 1533-position model. The record is from RNAcentral.
GAACCUGCCUCAAAGAGGGGGACAACAGUUGGAAACGACUGCUAAUACCGCAUAAGCCCACGGCUCGGCAUCGAGCAGAGGGAAAAGGAGCAAUCCGCUUUGAGGUGGCCUCGCGUCCGAUUAGCUAGUUGGUGAGGUAACGGCCCACCAAGGCGACGAUCGGUAGCCGGACUGAGAGGUUGAACGGCCACAUUGGGACUGAGACACGGCCCAGACUCCUACGGGAGGCAGCAGUGGGGAAUAUUGCACAAUGGGGGAAACCCUGAUGCAGCGACGCCGCGUGGAGGAAGAAGGUCUUCGGAUUGUAAACUCCUGUUGUUGAGGAAGAUAAUGACGGUACUCAACAAGGAAGUGACGGCUAACUACGUGCCAGCAGCCGCGGUAAAACGUAGGUCACAAGCGUUGUCCGGAAUUACUGGGUGUAAAGGGAGCGCAGGCGGGAGAACAAGUUGGAAGUGAAAUCCAUGGGCUCAACCCAUGAACUGCUUUCAAAACUGUUUUUCUUGAGUAGUGCAGAGGUAGGCGGAAUUCCCGGUGUAGCGGUGGAAUGCGUAGAUAUCGGGAGGAACACCAGUGGCGAAGGCGGCCUACUGGGCACCAACUGACGCUGAGGCUCGAAAGUGUGGGUAGCAAACAGGAUUAGAUACCCUGGUAGUCCACACCGUAAACGAUGAUUACUAGGUG